Molecule: long non-coding RNA, 3559 nt
Organism: Clupea harengus (Atlantic herring)
Lineage: Eukaryota; Metazoa; Chordata; Actinopteri; Clupeiformes; Clupeidae
Exons: 2
Source: RefSeq, a predicted model, not a curated record
UAGAGAAUGACACGGCUCGUGUUCUCAUGGGGGAUUGAUUUAGUGAUGUAUUUUGUAUGGCAGUGGGUGAGUGUUUGGAGAAGUGCAGAACCCUAUGUCCUCUCAUUGCCUAAAUGUGCAUGUCUGUGAUUGCUUCCAGAUGUAUGCGGAAUGCCUUGCUAUCUCUCUCUCCCUCUAUCCCUCUCUCUUUUUUUUCUCUCUCCCUCCCUUUUGCUUUCUUUUUCUCUCCCCCUGUCCCUCUCUCUCUCUCUCUCUUUCGCUCUCUUUCUCUGGCAUCACCCAAAGUAUCCCUCCCUCUUUCCCACCCACUUGCUUUUUCCAAAAGUUUUGGACUUAACAUUUCCUCUGCCAAAGGCCUCCAUUUCCUGUCUUGUUCCUUGGGAUUGGCAAAGAAAAGCAGGGGGGAAUUAGGCUUCUUUCUCUCGCAGCUCAUCUGAUAUCCCAUAGCUUACACGACUCUUUAAGUCCGUCAGAUUACGGGGAGUGGGAAUGGGAAGAGCCUGCACUGCACAGUUUUCAGUGCACAUGAUCGCUGCCAACUGUGCUUUUGAAACUGAUCAUUUUCAUAAACGCCUCCUUUUACUGCCAGCUGCACCUUGACCCAGAAGAGCACAACUCGCACAACAACUGAUCCAGAACCUGCCCGAAUCUGGCACAGAGCCGGCCCAGACUCGACUCCUGUCUGUGCUGGGUUUUGUUUUGUUUUGCAGAGGUGAAAAUGUAAAAGUGGUUUGUUUUUCUUCUGCUGCCUCACUGCGAAAGCCUGCAUUGAAACGGGGGCCUGCGAGAUAAUGACAUGUUAAUGCAUGUGUGUCUCCAUGAAGGUUUGUUUGCCUAUUGAUAUUUUCUCCCGUUGGGCACGAAGGCGUCCAUCUGUGUUUGUGCUCUCCUCCCUACUUCAUGCAGCAGGGUGGAGGUGGGGUGGCGUGGCGGAGGUGGAUGAGGGGGCAGUUCAUGUGAAGCGCCUGACAAAUUGUUUAUCUUCCUGAGACAGGAAACGCUGAGUCACUUUGGCCACCUUCUCUCUCUCUCUCUCUCUCUCUCUGACAUAGGCACACACACGCUCCCUCUCUCGCCUCAUUUUUCUCUCUCUCCCUCUCAUCCAGCUGCCCCAUCCAUCCAUCUAGUCCUCGCUCCCUCCCUCCCACUGCCUGAACCCAGCUUUGGAGGUCACAUAAACAGGAAAGUGUGUUUUUCUCUGCCUCGUCGCUCCUCGUCGCUCCCCUUCACUCCUCAUUUCCCGUCUCCUCACGUGAUGUAAGCCCCCACCACUCCUCCUCCAGGAACCGUCCCCAAGAUGUUUAUAAGCUCAGUAAUAUGUGUGCCUGUUGGUGUGAGACAUGGGUGGGGGGAGGGGGCUGGGCACAUUAAGCAAGUACACCCUGUGGAAAAAUAACCCUGGGUAUGAGUUCACAGCCCCUUGUAAAUCUCUGGGGUUUGUUUGGUGCCAAGGGCCAGGUUACACAACAGCAGCCACGUCUGAACAGCAGCCGAGGAGGGGAGGUGGUGGUGUUUUUUUUUUGUGUGUGUUUUUGUUUGGUUCCUGCUUUGUUUUGACUCCAACAUGUCCACAUGUCUGUGGGCCAGGAGAGGGAGAGCGGAGGAGGAGCUCGCUGGGCAGUGGGCAGUGUUUAUAGCCCUCACUCCCAAAGCCCUCAGUCCUCGCAUGCAAACAGCACGUGGUUCCAGCUCCUCUCAAAACAGAAAAGAAAAGAAAGAAAAAACACCUGGAUCUUUUUAUGUGGACACUCACCACGACCUGACAGUUGGUAAAGAUACGGUACUUUUUUUCUCUCUCUCUCUAUACUCUCUUUCCUCUGUUUUGCACAGUGUUCAGUUGGUUGUGUUUUUAUUUUCAUUUUGGUGUCUGUUUUUCUACUUGUGCCUGCCGUAGAUUGGGUUGUGGUGACUGCAUUGCUCUUGAUUGAGUUUUAUGUUUCUUGUUUCUGUUUCUUGCGAAUCUGAACUUGAGAUCUGCAUAGGAACAUGGCUUUAGGCUGUUUAUACUGGAUGAAGAGCUCACAGGUGCUUUGAAUUGGCAGAAGUUGGUGAACUUGAACUUGUGUCCAGUCUGAAGCUCUUAUACAUCACUCACUCAAGAGAGUGUUUAUCAAUCUUUUGCACCAGGGAAGGAAGUGUGGCACAUACUUUACAGAUCUGGGGUCUGCUUCUAAAGCACUCUAGCUACUGUGUCCCAUCACAUACUUUACAGAUUUGGGGUCUGCUUCUAAAGCACUCUAGCUACUGUGUCCCAUCACAUACUUUACAGAUCUGGGGUCUGCUUCUAAAGCACUCUAGCUACUGUGUCCCAUCACAUACUUUACAGAUCUGGGGUCUGCUUCUAAAGCACUCUAGCUACUGUGUCCCAUCACAUACUUUACAGAUCUGGGGUCUGCUUCUAAAGCACUAGCUACUGUGUCCCAUCUGGCCCCAUUGUUUGCAUGGCCUGGAGACACAGUGGAUGAUUGCAAACAGAAACCUCAAUGUGUUGCAACAGCAAAAUGUGCAAGACAGACGUUCGAGCACUGGUGCUUUUGGAUGAGGACACAGAGGAGGAGGAGGAGGAGGUGGUGGAGGUGUCCGAAGUGAAUCUCCUCACAUUAACCUCAGACUCUUCAGGACAACAGGUAGGGUUAUGGAGUCUUUCACAGACACUACAGAUAACUACUUCCUGCAUUGUCAGUGAUGAUUUACAAAUAAGAACAACGAUGUGAUUCUCUGUAACAGACUAGAGAGUUGGCCAAUGUCGCCAUGCAUGGCCAUUGAAAUAAAUGUGUUUAUAUGGAAGAGACCAGACUAGAGAGGUGGCCUGUAAUUAACAGUAGUGCUGUUUAUAUUUUAGGUUAACUCCUUGAACUUGAUGAUUGCAGGGCAGGAAUGAUGUGUCUGGCAUUGGAGAGCACAUUAGACCCACAUCAUGGGGAUGAAAGAGUUAAUGCGGUAUGGAUUUCUACCUGUGUGGGAGAGAGGCAUGGGUAGGAUGAAAAUGAGAAGGAAGACUGUAGGAAUGGAUGAAAGGACCUGACAGGAGGAAAAAAAACUAAGUGUUGAAAUGAGAUGACUAAUUAUGUGUGGGAGCUUUCUUACUACUGACUACAGAAACCCAAAGCCACUGCUGAUAAAAAGUCUCUCGGCACUCUUUCCAGCCAGACACAUAAAGCCCUGGAGAUCUGAUGGGACUGCGAGGACAUACCCCAAAUGUAUCCUGGCAAAAUGGAACCUCAUGGUGUCCUGCUGAUCAAGCAACACAGUGCAGAGUAAACCUGUGUAAGAGCCCUCCUUCCCCAGCUCUUGGCCCUGAACAGUAAGAGUUUACAUGCUGUGGAGGCUGUUCAGCAGCAUGUACUCCCUUACAGUGCAAGGACUGGAGCCCCUCUCCCAAGAGACUCGGGUCACAGCAGACCUGAGAGUUGGACACGACAGCCGGAGACAGAGUUUGUGCUUACUUUUUUUAUUAGUUGUGCUGAAGUUUUACAUUGAAGGUAUGAAUCACAUCAUAUGUGUCUCAUCAAUGAGGUUGUUUUUGUUUUGUUUUUGUUUUAUUAAAAAAACAAACAAA